GAUGAAGAACGUAGCGAAAUGCGAUAAGUAGUGUGAAUUGCAGAAUUCAGUGAAUCAUCGAAUCUUUGAACGCACAUUGCGCCCCUUGGUAUCCCGAGGGGCAUGCCUGUUCGAGCGUCAUUUCACCACUCAAGCCUGGCUUGGUGUUGGGCGACGUCCUCUUUGGGGACGCGCCUCGAAACGCUCGGCGGCGUGGCACCGGCUUUAAGCGUAGCAGAAUCUUUCGCUUUGGAAGUCGGGGCCCCGUCUGCCGGAAGACCUGCUCGCAAGGUUGACCUCGGAUCAGGCAGGGAUACCCGCUGAACUUAAGCAUAUCAAUAAGGAGGA
RNAcentral lists this unclassified non-coding RNA (327 nucleotides) under soil metagenome. RNAcentral's name for it is "partial contains 5.8S ribosomal RNA, internal transcribed spacer 2, and large subunit ribosomal RNA". The stretch from base 1 to 120 matches the Rfam family "5.8S ribosomal RNA", at positions 35 to 154 of the family's 154-position model. The record is from RNAcentral.